This 272-nucleotide unclassified non-coding RNA is filed under the name plant metagenome. RNAcentral describes it as "partial contains small subunit ribosomal RNA, internal transcribed spacer 1, and 5.8S ribosomal RNA". The record is from RNAcentral.
UUUCCGUAGGUGAACCUGCGGAAGGAUCAUUAAUGAGUUGUCAUGGGGUUCGAUGCUGGCAGCCAGUUUUUGGAUGCAUGUGCUUGCCCUAACAAUCAUCUUCUUCCAAACACCUGUGCACAUUUUUGAGGGAGUCUUGAGUUGGUUGCCGCUCUUGGGUGAUUUUCUCACAUUCCCCUACAUCAUUAUACGCUAUUAACAAUGUUGAACGUGCUCUGUGCCGCAAGGCCAUUAAUAUAAUACAACUUUUAACAACGGAUCUCUUGGCUCUC